AUGGGAUUCCCGCAGGUUGCACCGCAGGAAGCAAGACAAAACCAGGGAGCUCAGAAGAGUCACUGCCCUGAUCCCCUCCGUGCCGGCAGCUGCGAGGACACAGGCCCCUUUGUAUCCUGCGGUGCGGAGGUGGAGCAGAGGAGAGGGUGCCCUGGCUGGCCCCCUCCCUCGCCCCGCAGCACUGCCCCUCCUUUCACAGCAACCCACGGCCUCCCCCGCGCUUGACCCAGCUGGCGAGCUGCCCCUUAUACCUGGAUCCGCCCCUCGGGACGCAGCUCCCCAGGCCCGAUCACCGAGCGGUGCCUAGGAACUGGGAGCGUAACUUGGCUCGGCUCAGAACUUUGCCCGUGAGCCAAAGAACACUGAACUCAUCUACCUGCUGCUUGACAUCUCAUCUGCAUACCAAGCUAUUUGGUGGACGUCCACAAGCGCCCCCGCCCCCACGUAGACCCAGUUGGGUCCCCGUUCCGUCGGUCCCCUCCUCUGCACACGCCUCUAGCCUUAUACCCCGUCUUGAUCCGAAAGUUUUUCCACCCAUGAACCCCCAGUUGGCGCUCCCCGACCAGCAAAAGCCCCUUCUCUGGUCCACGAUCCCGACCACCCGGUUCUCCAGAAGACAAUACUCCAAUUCUCUGGAAAGUGGAAGAAACCAAGCUGGAGCUAGGGGGGCGCUGGGACCCCUAUUGGGGCUUUGAGAGCUUCCGGUUGUCAUCUCCUAAGUAUUCGGAGACCCUUCCCCAAAACUCUUGGGGUGACCCUCAAGACUCUUACCUGCUACAUAGUUGGGGGUCUCUGGUCCUGGACUAGAGCAGUAGGCAACCUGGGUCCCCCCACACACACGGGAAAGAAUUGGAGGGGCCUGCCUUGUGAUGUCACCCCUCCUCCCCCCACCGCGCGCGCGCGCGCGCGCGCGCGCACACACACACACACACACACACACACCCCCCAACACACACUCCCUGUCCCCUUUCUCCACCCUGCAAGCUAGUUGCAUUUAGCUCACAGAGCCUGGGCUGCGACUUGAAAGAGUUUAGGCAGCAACAGAGUGACCCUGGGGGUGCUCUUGACCGACAGCCGCACCCCCGGCGUCUAGGACCUCCGAGCAGGGAUGCAUCUGGAGGUCUAGGGAAGCACUUCCACCCCCUCCUCUCCUCAACCCUGGCAGGAUGUGCCCGAAAUGCCAGCUCCUCCUU
This 1193-nucleotide long non-coding RNA is filed under the name Pan troglodytes (chimpanzee). Its description in RNAcentral is "long non-coding RNA NONPTRT003870". The record is from RNAcentral. Lineage: Eukaryota; Metazoa; Chordata; Mammalia; Primates; Hominidae.